CUGCAAUGAGCAUGGAAGAGAGCAGGGUAGCACGUGUACCAUGUAUUUGUCAUAAGAAUAGAUUGUGAAGUAAUAGAAGAUGGGGUGCAGGCUCAGCUUUAUCACUUUCUAGCUAGAAGUUAAACCUUGUGCUUAAUUUUCAGAGCUUCAGUUUUCCCAUACAUACUAUGGGAAUUUUACCUCUUGGUUAUUUUUUGGAAUGGUAAAGUUCUUAUCAAGGUAUCCGGCAUGUUGAAAUUUCUCAAUAAAUGGAAACGACCCAGACAUAUCACUGAGGGAUGUGGCAUCACAGAAAUAUCACUGAGGCCAAGGAAAAAAGGAACCUCUGAGGUGGGCAGAGCAGGUACGAUGGCCACCACUAGGCAGAGGAGGGAAGUCAGAAUCCAGGAAGGUGAUGUGACUACCUCAGAAUCACCCCACAAAAUAAGGAAGAGCGGAAGAAAAAAGCAUCUUUCUGUAGCUCCAGCAGAAGUCCCAGAGGAGAGUCAGCCUGGUCCACUGAACCACGCCUGCGGCUGCGUCAGCUCCAUGCGAACCACAUGGAUUGAGCAGGAUUACUGUGCAGUUGCGAGAGCUGGUUCCCCCAAGGGCAGGCUGGAAGUGCCAGAGAGCUAGUGACCCCAGAAGCAGCCCUCAAUUGAUGACUGAUGAGAGUUUGUGGAUAAAUACCCAGCUUCCUCACUCCUGAGACGGGUCAACUCUGAGACGUGUUCUUUUCGUCGGGCCCCAACAAGCUUGAGUCCCAGUUGCCUACAGAG
Molecule: long non-coding RNA, 758 nt
Filed under: Equus caballus (horse)
Lineage: Eukaryota; Metazoa; Chordata; Mammalia; Perissodactyla; Equidae
Description: lncRNA (ENSECAG00000047816.1)
Source: RNAcentral